CAAUCCAAGCGAUAACAACGUAUAUAUAAUUGCAACAGAAGUAUCCAGCAGGUACAUGAUUGCUCUCGAUAAGCCAUUAUUCAUAGCCUCAUUAGUUUUACACCUAUUUUUUCAUCUUCCCUCUACAUAUUGUCUAAUCAUUUGUAUGAUUUUUUUAUUAUUUGUAUGUGCCGAUUACUCGAUUGCAUCAUCAAUUUUUCAUCUGUUUGUUACCUUAGUUAUUUUGUACUCUGGGUAUUAGACUAUUAGUACAUAAACGUGAAAAUACAUUUUGUAGGAAAGCCAUCUUUGUCCAUGUAGUAGGAAUACUAAUCUUGGGCAUUAUCGAUUAAAUGAGAAAUCCAAAUUUUGGGUACACGAGUUUUGGGUCAAAUUCAAAACUGAUAAUGAGUAAGAUCGAUGUGAAAGGUAGCAGUUUAAGAACUUGAGAGCAUGCAUGUUUUGUUAUGCCUGUAUAUUGGUUACUCAGAUGUGUGAUAGAACACCUUCCACAUUUUUUUUAUCCUAUAUUAUAAUAGUAUAACUCAUGUUGGUCGUAACAACUUUUUUUUUUCACUUUUCUUUUAUUUCAAGAAAAACGGGUUGGUUUUCAUGAAAGAUAACAGGUAACUAAACCAAAUCCUUAACCGUAUUUAUAAAGUUGGUUGAAAUUGCACCAAGCAACAUUUUGCAUAUAUACCCUCAGUCCCUCCUCCAUAUGAUAAUAGUUUCAAUAAAAAACGUUAAUUUUUAGUUUAUAGUAUUUUUAGGUAAAAACAAAUAACUUAAGUCUUUUGUAUCAUCUCGAUCUUCAGCUUUAACACUUGCUCUGAACUGGCCAUCAUGGAGUUGCUCGAUAAGUUGCUCGGUCAUCCAAAACUGAUUUGGGGAAGGUGAGAUCAAUUAAAAGAUGCAUGUUGGUAGUUUAUGUUCUGCUUCUGGUGUAAAACGUGGAAGUCUCGUAAGCUAUUUGAGAUUUGGUUAAUUGUAUAUUAUUUCAACAUUUGUAUUUUGUCACACAGUUUACUACUUGGGAUUGUAAGCAAAUUAUCCAUCAUCUAAUUUUGGUUGAAUCUGUUUCAUGUAAGUUUUUAUAUGUAUUUUUUUUUUUAAUUUAAAUUUCUAUAAUGUGAGGGUAAUGGUGUCCUACUGUUGUCUUGCAGGAGCUUGACGCAGUCUUACUGAACUAAAAGUCCAUAUAAAAGCUACCGAGUUUCGCCUUCCCAUAAUGAAGUCCAUUUACGUUGUUGUAGUUGCAAAUGAAGCAUUUGUUCACAUCAAUGACUCAAACAACAAUAAUCCCGACAUAUAUUUUUUAUUGAAUUAUGUUCUGCAGCAGAAGUUUCUUUACAAUAUCACAUUGAUGAACCAAAAAUAUAGCAAUGUCCUAAUAUGAUUUAGUAAAAUAACUUUAAACAACACUAAAGUAAAUAUCUCUAACAGUCAAAUGUAAUAGAAGUCUCCCAUAUGCUGUAACACCCCCAUCUCUAAAAGCACGGAAAAAAAUUAUCUCGGUCUGCAAUAUUUUUCCAACUAAGAAAACAUAACAAAUACUAAUAACCAUAGAGGUUCUGCCGUUGACUAACAACUUUCUAUAAAAAAUAUAGAAUAGA
This 1592-nucleotide long non-coding RNA is filed under the name Aquilegia coerulea. RNAcentral's name for it is "long non-coding RNA (ACOE_LNC001219)". Lineage: Eukaryota; Viridiplantae; Streptophyta; Magnoliopsida; Ranunculales; Ranunculaceae. The record is from RNAcentral.